Molecule: ribosomal RNA, 253 nt
Filed under: uncultured bacterium
Lineage: Bacteria
Description: partial 16S ribosomal RNA
Rfam family: Bacterial small subunit ribosomal RNA
Source: RNAcentral
UACGUAGGGGGCUAGCGUUGUCCGGAAUCAUUGGGCGUAAAGAGCGCGUAGGCGGCCCGGUAAGUCUGCUGUAAAAGUCAAAGGCUUAACCUUUGAAAGUCAGUGGAUACUGCCGGGCUAGAGUCCGGAAGAGGCGAGUGGAACUCCUGGUGUAGCGGUGAAAUGCGCAGAUAUCAGGAGGAACACCGAUGGCGAAGGCAGGUCUCUGGGCAUUAACUGACGCUGAGGAGCGAAAGCAUGGGGAGCGAACAGG